ACGCUGAACAUGUCGCCAAGAGAGCCUUGCACUUCUAUUCCAGAUAUGGGGAUCAAUUACGAACAUUUCCAAAACCAAGUGGGUUAAGGAGAGCGCCGAGCCCACCACCAACCCCAGAAGAGGAAUUAUUCACUCCUCGCCGAACAAAUGUUCCCGUUCUGACAUCCUUUGAGAAAGAGAUGGUGACCGCAGCUGCCAGCGAUGCAGG
This is a long non-coding RNA of Priapulus caudatus, 208 nucleotides long. RefSeq lists it as uncharacterized. The transcript has 3 exons. NCBI's taxonomy places the organism in Eukaryota, Metazoa, Priapulida, Priapulimorpha, Priapulimorphida, Priapulidae. The record is from RefSeq and is a predicted model, not a curated record.